Molecule: ribosomal RNA, 477 nt
Filed under: uncultured organism
Description: partial 16S ribosomal RNA
Rfam family: Bacterial small subunit ribosomal RNA
Source: RNAcentral
UACACUCCUACGGGAGGCAGUAGUGGGGAAUUUUGGACAAUGGGCGAAAGCCUGAUCCAGCAAUGCCGCGUGAGUGAAGAAGGCCUUCGGGUUGUAAAGCUCUUUUGUCAGGGAAGAAACGGUGAAAGCUAAUAUCUUUUGCUAAUGACGGUACCUGAAGAAUAAGCACCGGCUAACUACGUGCCAGCAGCCGCGGUAAUACGUAGGGUGCAAGCGUUAAUCGGAAUUACUGGGCGUAAAGCGUGCGCAGGCGGUUUUGUAAGUCUGAUGUGAAAUCCCCGGGCUCAACCUGGGAAUUGCAUUGGAGACUGCAAGGCUAGAAUCUGGCAGAGGGGGGUAGAAUUCCACGUGUAGCAGUGAAAUGCGUAGAUAUGUGGAGGAACACCGAUGGCGAAGGCAGCCCCCUGGGUCAAGAUUGACGCUCAUGCACGAAAGCGUGGGGAGCAAACAGGAUUAGAUACCCUGGUAGUCCCAUGA